AUUAAAAAUUAUUUAAUUUUUUUAGAAAAUAAAUAGAUUUAAAUAAAUAUAUAGAAAUAUGAAAAUUUUAGUAUUAAUUAGAAAAAAUAAAUUAUAAUUAUUUAAUUGUAAAAGAAUUUUAAAAUUUAUUAAAGAAAAUUUAAUUUAUUGUACCUUUUGUAUCAGGGAUUAUUAAAUUUGAGUGUUAGAAUAAAUAUUUCUCGAAUUAAAAAGAGUUAAUUUAAUAUUAUAGUUAGUGUGGAAAAAUUAUUAUAAAUAUUAGAUUUGAAGUGAAAUGUUAAUCGAUUUUUAAGAUAUCUAGUUUUUUAAUAUAAAAAUUUAAUUUUUUUAUAAAUUUAAUUAUAGAUUAUUUAAAAAUUUAUAAUUAUUUUAUAAUAAAUAAUUUAUGGGAUUAUCUAUAAAUUUAUAUUAAAUAAUUUUAAAAUUAAUUUAAAAUUUAGAGAUUAAAAUUUUUAAAAUUUAAGAGUUUAUAAUAAUUUAUUAAAUUAUAAAAUUUAAUUUUAAAAUUUAUUAAUUAAUUAUUAAAAUAAAUUUAUAAAUUUAAUAAAAUUUAUAAUAAUGAUAAUAUAAGUAUAAAAAUAUGUUAAAUUUAUAAAAUUUUUAAAUUAAUUUAAGGAAUUAAGCAAACUAAAAGUUCACUUGUUUAUCAAAAACAUGUUUUUUUGAUAUUAAUAAAAAAUUUUCUCUGCCCAAUGAUGAAUUAAAUGGCCGCAGUAUUUUGACUGUGCAAAGGUAGCAUAAUAAAUAGUUUUUUAAUUGAAGACUUGAAUGAAUGAGAGGAUGAAAUUUUAACUGUCUCAAUUUAAUUAUAGAAUUUUAUUUUAAGUUAAAAUUCUUAAAUUAAUUUAAGGGACGAGAAGACCCUAUAGAAUUUAAAAAUUUAAAUUAAUUUAAGAAUUAAUAUUAUUUUUUGUUUGAUUAAAAAUUUUUUUAUUGGGAUGAUAUUAAAAUUUAAAUAACUUUUAAUUGUUUAAUUCAAUAAUUAAUGAAUUAUAGAAUAUUAAUAUUAAUAAAAAGAUAAAAUUACCUUAGGGAUAACAGCGUAAUAAAUUUUUAAAGUUCAAAUUAAAAAAUUUGAUUGCGACCUCGAUGUUGAAUUAAAAUAAAAUUUAAGUGAAGAAGCUUAAGAUUUAAGUCUGUUCGACUUUUAAAAUUUUACAUGAUUUG
RNAcentral lists this ribosomal RNA (1167 nucleotides) under Chrysis comta. RNAcentral's name for it is "partial 16S ribosomal RNA". The record is from RNAcentral. Lineage: Eukaryota; Metazoa; Arthropoda; Insecta; Hymenoptera; Chrysididae.